AUUGAACGCUGGCGGAAUGCUUUACACAUGCAAGUCGAACGGUAGAGGGGGCAACCCCUCGAGAGUGGCGAACGGGUGAGUAAUAUAUCGGAACGUGCCCAGUCGGGGGGGAUAACGUAGCGAAAGUUACGCUAAUACCGCAACCGAUGUAAGGGAGCAAGCGGGGGAUCGCAAGACAUCGCACGAUUGGAGCGGCCGAUAUCAGCUUAGGUAGUUGGUGGGGUAAAGGCUCACCAAGCCAACGAUCUGUAGCUGGUCUGAGAGGACGACCAGCCACACUGGAACUGAGACACGGUCCAGACUCCUACGGGAGGCAGCAGUGGGGAAUUUUGGACAAUGGACGCAAGUCUGAUCCAGCCAUUCCGCGUGCAGGAUGAAGGCCCUCGGGUUGUAAACUGCUUUUGUACGGAACGAAAAGGUCUCUCUUAAUACGGGGGACUCAUGACGGUACCGUAAGAAUAAGCACCGGCUAACUACGUGCCAGCCGCCGCCGUAA
RNAcentral lists this ribosomal RNA (496 nucleotides) under uncultured bacterium. RNAcentral describes it as "partial 16S ribosomal RNA". It matches the Rfam family "Bacterial small subunit ribosomal RNA", at positions 30 to 523 of the family's 1533-position model. The record is from RNAcentral.